CGCUAGCGACAGGCCUAACACAUGCAAGUCGAGGGGCAGCACGAGGUAGCAAUACUUGGGUGGCGACCGGCGGACGGGUGAGUAACACGUAUGCAACCUGCCCGUAAUCGGGGGAUAACCCGGAGAAAUUCGGACUAACACUCCAUGCACCUGAAAUGUCACAUGACGAAUCAGGUAAACGCAAGGAUUACGGAUGGGCAUGCGGAUGAUUAGCUAGUUGGAGGGGUAACGGCCCGCCAAGGCGACGAUCAUUAGGGGUUCUGAGAGGAAGGUCCCCCACAUUGGAACUGAGAAACGGUCCAAA
Molecule: ribosomal RNA, 304 nt
Filed under: uncultured bacterium
Lineage: Bacteria
Description: bacterial SSU rRNA
Rfam family: Bacterial small subunit ribosomal RNA
Source: RNAcentral